CGGCAGGCCUAACACAUGCAAGUCGAGCGAGAAAGGGGCUUCGGCCCCGAGUAGAGCGGCGCACGGGUGAGUAACACGUGAAUAAUCUGCCUUCAGGCCGGGGAUAACAGACCGAAAGGACUGCUAAUACCCGAUAAGCUUCCGCACCAACCGGGUGAGUGGAGAAAAGUGUGGGAUCGCAAGACCACAUACCAGAAGAUGAGUUCGCGUUCCAUUAGAUAGUUGGCGGGGUAAUGGCCCACCAAGUCGACGAUGGAUAGCUGGUCUGAGAGGAUGAUCAGCCACACUGGGACUGAGACACGGCCCAGACUCCUACGGGAGGCAGCAGUGGGGAAUCUUGCGCAAUGGACGAAAGUCUGACGCAGCCAUGCCGCGUGAGUGAUGAAAAGGCCUUCGGGUUGUAAAGCUCUGUCUAAGGGAAAAAACGUCAUCAUAGCGAACAGAGAUGGUGAGUGAUGGUACCCUUAAAGAAAGCACCGGCUAACUCCGUGCCAGCCGCUGC
This 502-nucleotide ribosomal RNA is filed under the name uncultured bacterium. RNAcentral's name for it is "bacterial SSU rRNA". It matches the Rfam family "Bacterial small subunit ribosomal RNA", at positions 40 to 518 of the family's 1533-position model. The record is from RNAcentral.